Molecule: ribosomal RNA, 933 nt
Filed under: Triticum aestivum (bread wheat)
Lineage: Eukaryota; Viridiplantae; Streptophyta; Magnoliopsida; Poales; Poaceae
Description: partial small subunit ribosomal RNA
Source: RNAcentral
CCAGUUGUUAAAGCUGCAACCAUUCGUCUUGUUCUCUCUAUUGCUGUUUCCAGGGGAUGGAGCCUUCACCAGCUAGAUGUCAAGAAUGCGUUUCUUCAUGGUGUUCUGGAAGAGGAAGUGUAUAUGAAACAACCUCCUGGUUUUGAAAACAAGAAUAAGCAGUUUCAUGUGUGCAAGCUUGAUAAAGCGCUAUAUGGACUCAAACAAGCCCCCAGGGCGUGGUACUCCAGGCUAAGUCACAAAUUGCAAGCUCUUGGCUUUGUUCCUUCUAAGUCUGACACAUCCUUGUUUAUUUACAACAAGCUGAAAACAUCCAUAUUUGUUCUUAUAUACGUUGAUGAUAUUACUGUCACAAGCUUAUCUGAUGAGGCCAUAUCAGGACUGUUGAAGGAUUUAAAUGCUGAGUUUGCUCUCAAGGAUCUGGGUGACUUGCACUUUUUCCUAGGGAUUGAAGUCAAGAAACAAGGUAACAGUCUUCAUCUAUCUCAGGAAAAGUAUGCCACUGAUCUGGUGAGAAGAGCUGGGUUACAUGGGUGUAAGUCUUCAUCAACUCCAUUGUCCAGCAUAAAAAAAUUGUCACUUACAGAAGGAGAGCCCUUGGGUCAAGAUGACAGUACCAGGUAUAGAAGUCUGGUAGGUGCACUUCAGUAUUUGACCUUGACAAGACCUGAUCUUUCAUUUGCAGUAAAUAAGGUUUGCCAGUUUCUUCAUGCACCCACUACAACUCAUUGGACUGCUGCAAAACGUAUAGUGAGAUAUGUAAAAGAUACAGUGAAUCUUGGUCUUACAUUUCACAAGUCCUCAUCUACACUUGUUAGUGCCUUUUCUGAUUCAGAUUGGGCUGGAUGUCUAGAUGACAGACGAUCCACUGGUGGUUUUGCAUUAUUUCUUGGUCCAAAUCUAAUAUCAUGGUGUGCCAAGAAACAAGCCACU